CGGGGUGCACCAGGCGCGAAAACUUUACAAUGCGGGAAACCGUGAUAAGGGGACACCGAGUGCCAGCAUCAUAUGCUGGCUGUCCAGGUGUGUAAAAUACACCUGUCAGCAAGGGCCGGGCAAGACCGGUGCCAGCCGCCGCGGUAACACCGGCGGCCCGAGUGGUGAUCGUGAUUAUUGGGUCUAAAGGGUCCGUAGCCGGUUUGGUCAGUCCUCCGGGAAAUCUGACGGCUCAACCGUUAGGCUUUCGGGGGAUACUGCCAGGCUUGGAACCGGGAGAGGUAAGAGGUACUACAGGGGUAGGAGUGAAAUCUUGUAAUCCCUGUGAGACCACCUGUGGCGAAGGCGUCUUACCAGAACGGGUUCGACGGUGAGGGACGAAAGCUGGGGGCACGAACCGGAUUAGAUACCCGGGUAGUCCCAGCCGUAAACGAUGCUCGCUAGGUGUCAGGCAUGGCGCGACCGUGUCUGGUGCCGCAGGGAAGCCGUGAAGCGAGCCACCUGGGAAGUACGGCCGCAAGGCUGAAACUUAAAGGAAUUGGCGGGGGAGCACAAGGGCGAUUGCGG
RNAcentral lists this ribosomal RNA (567 nucleotides) under uncultured archaeon. Its description in RNAcentral is "bacterial SSU rRNA". It matches the Rfam family "Archaeal small subunit ribosomal RNA", at positions 326 to 893 of the family's 1478-position model. The record is from RNAcentral.